This 433-nucleotide ribosomal RNA is filed under the name uncultured bacterium. RNAcentral's name for it is "partial 16S ribosomal RNA". It matches the Rfam family "Bacterial small subunit ribosomal RNA", at positions 29 to 507 of the family's 1533-position model. The record is from RNAcentral.
AGCGAACGCUGGCGGCAGGCCUAACACAUGCAAGUCGAACGAACCCUUCGGAGUUAGUGGCGGACGGGUGAGUAACACGUGGGAACGUGCCUUUUGGUUCGGAAUAACUCAGGGAAACUUGUGCUAAUACCGAAUGUGCCCUUCGGGGGAAAGAUUUAUCGCCAUUAGAGCGGCCCGCGUCUGAUUAGCUAGUUGGUGAGGUAACGGCUCACCAAGGCGACGAUCAGUAGCUGGUCUGAGAGGAUGACCAGCCACACUGGGACUGAGACACGGCCCAGACUCCUACGGGAGGCAGCAGUGGGGAAUCUUGCGCAAUGGGCGAAAGCCUGACGCAGCCAUGCCGCGUGAAUGAUGAAGGUCCUAGGAUUGUAAAAUUCUUUCACCGGGGACGAUAAUGACGGUACCCGGAGAAGAAGCCCCGGCUAACUUCGUG